This 484-nucleotide ribosomal RNA is filed under the name uncultured bacterium. RNAcentral describes it as "partial 16S ribosomal RNA". It matches the Rfam family "Bacterial small subunit ribosomal RNA", at positions 30 to 507 of the family's 1533-position model. The record is from RNAcentral.
AUUGAACGCUGGCGGCAGGCCUAACACAUGCAAGUCGAGCGGAUGAAGGGAGCUUGCUCCUGGAUUCAGCGGCGGACGGGUGAGUAAUGCCUAGGAAUCUGCCUGGUAGUGGGGGAUAACGUCCGGACACGGGCGCUAAUACCGCAUCCGUCCUGAGGGAGAAAGUGGGGGAUCUUCGGACCUCACGCUAUCAGAUGAGCCUAGGUCGGAUUAGCUAGUUGGUGGGGUAAAGGCCUACCAAGGCGACGAUCCGUAACUGGUCUGAGAGGAUGAUCAGUCACACUGGAACUGAGACACGGUCCAGACUCCUACGGGAGGCAGCAGUGGGGAAUAUUGGACAAUGGGCGAAAGCCUGAUCCAGCCAUGCCGCGUGUGUGAAGAAGGUCUUCGGAUUGUAAAGCACUUUAAGUUGGGAGGAAGGGCAGUAAGUUAAUACCUGGCUGUUUUGACGUUACCAACAGAAUAAGCACCGGCUAACUUCGUG